AUUGAACGCUGGCGGCAUGCCUUACACAUGCAAGUCGAACGGCAGCACGGGUGCUUGCGCCUGGUGGCGAGUGGCGAACGGGUGAGUAAUACAUCGGAACAUGUCCUGUAGUGGGGGAUAGCCCGGCGAAAGCCGGAUUAAUACCGCAUACGAUCCACGGAUGAAAGCGGGGGACCUUCGGGCCUCGCGCUAUAGGGUUGGCCGAUGGCUGAUUAGCUAGUUGGUGGGGUAAAGGCCUACCAAGGCGACGAGCAGUAGCUGGUCUGAGAGGACGACCAGCCACACUGGGACUGAGACACGGCCCAGACUCCUACGGGAGGCAGCAGUGGGGAAUUUUGGACAAUGGGCGAAAGCCUGAUCCAGCAAUGCCGCGUGUGUGAAGAAGGCCUUCGGGUUGUAAAGCACUUUUGUCCGGAAAGAAAUCCUUGACUCUAAUACAGUCGGGGGAUGACGGUACCGGAAGAAUAAGCACCGGCUAACUACGUG
RNAcentral lists this ribosomal RNA (486 nucleotides) under uncultured bacterium. Its description in RNAcentral is "partial 16S ribosomal RNA". It matches the Rfam family "Bacterial small subunit ribosomal RNA", at positions 30 to 507 of the family's 1533-position model. The record is from RNAcentral.